RNAcentral lists this long non-coding RNA (5023 nucleotides) under Sus scrofa (pig). RNAcentral describes it as "lncRNA (ENSSSCG00000060303.1)". The record is from RNAcentral. Lineage: Eukaryota; Metazoa; Chordata; Mammalia; Artiodactyla; Suidae.
AGUAUAGUUGUUUUACAGUGUUGUGUCAAUUCUGCUAUAUACCAUAGUGACCUAUAUAUAUAGGUCUUUUCUCACUUUUUUCAUACUAUCUUCCAUCAUGUUCUAGCCCAAGAGAUUGGAUACGGUUCCCAGUGCAAUACUGUAGGACCUCACUGUUUAUCCAUUCUAAAUGUAAUAGUUUGCAUCUACUUUAAAAACAGACUUUCCCUGUUUUUAGACCCACCUGCACUCCAUCUGUGUCGGGCGGGGGGGGGGGGGGUCCUGGUGCCUCAAAUCCCUGAGACUGUCCGGGCUUCUGUGGAUGGGGAUGACUCCUAAACACAUCCGGUUUGCUCCUACCUGAUAUGAAUCAAUUUUUGCUUAAAUUAACUCUUAAAUUUAAAAAAAUAAAUAGGAAUGGGAUCAAGAUGGCAGAGGAAUAAGACAUGGCACUCACCUUCUCCCACAAAUAUAUCAAAAAAACCAUUGGCACAAAACAUUUACUAAAUGCUGGCAGAAGACCCUAGACCUCCAAAAGGGGCAAGAAACCGUCCACAUAACUAGGUAGAACAAAGGAAAAAAGAGGGGGCAGGGGAAGGAAUCAGGAGAGGACCAGCAUUCCUGAGAGGAAGCUGUGAAAGAUGAAAGGAAUCUGUACUCUGGGAGGCCAACUAACUGAUAGGGAGAUCAGCUAGGAUGGAGAAGGAAACUCAAAGCCUUGGAGAAAAGCACAGCAGCCAGACCGAGGAGGGCAAAGCAGAGAGAGGCACACAGACCAUUGGUACCACCAGCUGGGUCACCACAGCCUGAGACACUACAGCAGGGGCUGGGUGCUGAGACUCAGGCUUCAGAGGUCAGCUCCAGGGAGGGGACUAGGCAUGGCUGUGUGGAGACAACCUGAGGGGCUAGGGAGUGGUGCACCAUGGCCUGAGGGGUGAAGUGCCACAGCCAAACACGCAUGGGAGGAAGCAAGAAUCGCAGGAGAAGUAAGGUGCCAUUGUUGGGGAAGGGGAGGGGAGGAGGGCAGGUACCACCAUAGAAAUAUCUGUCUAUGCACAUGCUCAGGCUCUUGACAGGAAAAAAGAGGGGGCAGGGGAAGGAAUCAGGAGAGGACCAGCAGUGCAGUCUGUGGAUGGCAGGUGCAUACCCGCCAUAGCCAUCUCAGUCUCUAAUGGCGGGCACAGCCUGCCAUCACUAGGGAUCUGUGAACAGGCACCGCCUGUGGUCCUAGUCACCUCAGGGGUGGCGCAGAGGAGGGCAAUUCAACCAAACACCACCCAUUACCCUCACUCCCCUGGAAAUGCACAUGCCCUGAUGUUGCUGCUGCCAGAGGCACUGCCUAUACCUUCCUGAGGGUCACUACCACUGCCAAGGGCCGUGCAGCCAGGAGCAGACUGUACCACAUGCCUCCGAGUCCUUACCACUGUCAAGGGCCCAUCAAUCAGGCACUGGCUACAGGCCCUGCCCACUGCUUCCCUCUCCCUGGAAGCAUAUGCAGGCUGCACACUGGCACAACCACUAUCAAGGGGAUAAGAGCCUGCACACAUGGAGGAAAAAGAUAGCAAGCAUCAAAACCAAAAGCAGCCCACAUGCCAAAAAAAAAAAAAAAAAAAAGUUAGCCCUCACAAGCUACCCAGGGGUGCUCUUGCAUCUAAAUAGCCCUCCAAGACUACAGUAGAUAACUGUCUUCCUUAAGCACAGAAUAAGAAAAAUAGAAGCAAAUGGAAGAAGCUCAGGAACAGGAUAAUUCCGCUGAAGGGGCAAAUAAGGAAUUAGACCUCUGCAGUCUAAUAGACACUGAGUUCAAAAAGAAGGUAAUGAAAAUAUUAAGGAAUUAAGAGCAGAUAUGAACAGUAAUGCAGAUUACUUUAAAAAGGAACUAGAAACUAUAAGGAAGAGGCAAGAAAAAUUAGAAAAUUCAUUUGCAGAAACCUGAGCUGAGUUAAAGGCAUUGAAGAGCAGAAUGAAUAAUGCAGGGGAAUAAAGAAGUGAUUCAGAAGACAGAAUAAUGGAACUCACCCAAUCAAUGCAGCAGAGAGAACACCAAAAUGAAAAAACAUGAAAGGAUUAUAAAAGAUCUAUGGGAUAAUAUAAAGCAGGCCAUCUACACAUAAUAGAAAUUCCAGAAGAAAAAGAAAAGGGGAUUGAAAAUAUAUUUGAAGAAAUCAUGGCUGAAAUUUUUCCAAAUCUAAAGGAAAUAGAUAUCAAGAUACAGGAAAAAAUAGAGGGCUCCAAACAAGUUGAACCCAGACAGACUUACACCAAGACAUAAUAAAAAUGGCAAAAAUUAAAGGAGAGGAUUCUAAAGCCAGCAAGAGAAAAACAAAAUAAUUAAUUAUAAAGGAACCCCCAGAAGGCUAUCAGCUAAUUUUUCAACAGAAACAAUAUAGGCCAAGUGAGUAGCAAGAUACAUUCAAAGUUCUAAAAGAGAAAAGUUUGUAACCUGGAAUACAUUACUCAGCAAGAUUAUCAUCUAAUAUAGAAGGAGAAACAAAGAAUUUCUCAGACAAACAAAAACUAAAAGAAUACAGCAAUACUAAACCUAUUCUAAAAGAAAUAUCGAGGAGAAGGAUCAAUAUGGCAAAGGAGUAAGGUGUUGCACGCUCAUCUUCUCCCACAAACAUUAAAAAAAACACAUCUACAUGUAGAACAAUUUGCACUGAACAUCUACUGAAUGCUGGCAGAAGAACUUAAACCUCCAAAAAGGGCAAGAAACCCUCCACAUAACUGGGUAGAACAAAAGAAAAAAGAGAGAGAAAGAAAAGGAAUCAAGAUGGAACUAGCACACUGGGAACUGUGAAAGUGAAAAGGAGCCCCCACCCUGGGAAGCCACCUUAUGGAUGGGGAGAUCAGACAAGACAGAGGGACCUCAAAUUCACCAAGAAAAGUGCAGUGAAGGACGGCAAAGCAGAGUGAGAGCAGAACAGAUCAUAUGCACCACCGCCAAGAUACAGCAGCCUGAGAUGCUUGGGCGGGCGCUGGGUGCUGAGACUCGGUCUAGAGGUCAGUUCCAGGGACAGGACUAGGGUUGGCCAUGUGGAGACAACCUUAGGGGCUAGGCAGCAGUGUGCCACAGUCUGGGGAGCAGAAUGCCACAGUCAAGGGAACCGGGAGGAGGUCUGGGCCCACAGGAAAAGUAAGGCACCACUGUUGGUGAGGGCACGAGGACAAGGGGCGGACCACCAUAGGAAUCUCUUUCCCUGCCCACACACAGGCUCUCAGAGUGUGGGGUGUCUCUGGCAUAGGCUAUGGGUGGCAAGAGGCCACUUGCUCAGGCUAUGAGGGGACCAGGUGCCUAUUGGAUGGGCUACGGGUGGCUGGGCACCUCUUGUGUGGGCUAAGGGCAGCGGGGGGCUAAGCAUGAUGUGCCACCUCUUAUGUGACCUACAGGUGGCAGGGAUAAGCCACAGAAGUCAUCUCAAGAGGGGACGUAGCCCACCACCACUAGGGGUCUGUGAACAGGCUCCACCUGUGGCCCCAGUCAUCUCAGAAGUUGGCAAAAAAAGAGGACACUACAACUGACCAGCACCCGUUGAUGCUCUCACUCCUUUGGGAACACACCCACCCUGCUGUUGCCACGGCCAAACGGUCUGGGCAGUGCCCAUACAUGCACACACAUUACUUUCCAGGACCCUACAACUAGGGUCCUGUGCAGCAACUCCUGCAUGGGCUAAGCAGGACAGGGUGCUUAUGUGGUCUACAGGUGGCAGUGGUAAACCACCGCAGUUAUCUUUGACUCCAGAGGUCGGUGUGGCCUGCCACCACUAGGGGCCCAUGAACAGGCACAACUUGCAGCUGCAAUUGCCUCAGAGGGCACCACAAAGGAGGGCACUGCAACCAAACUCCACCACCCCUUGUUGCUCUCACUUCCCUAGGAACUCACACACACUGCCACUGCCAAAUGCUCUGGGCAUGCCUAAAUCUGCCUGAGGCUCAUCACCACUUCCCAGGGCUCUGCAACUUGGAGUAGCCUAUGCCACCUUCCUGCAGGUCCUUGCUACUGUUAAGGGUGCAGCAACCUGGCACUGACUAUUAGCCCUGCCCAUUGCCUUCUUCUCCCUGAAAACACAUUCAGCACCCCAUCAAGGGGAUAUACUAUUCACACUGAAGAAAGAGACAGCAAAUAUCCAAAUUCCCAUGCCAAAAAUAAACAGUAACCCCCCACAAAAUACAAAGGGGUACUCUUGCAUAGAAAUAGCCCUCCAAGACUACAGUAGUUGGUUUCCCUAAACUCACAGAAAAAGAAAAGUAUAAGAGAAGUGAGUAAGCUCAGAAACCAUUCCCAGUUAAAACAAACCAACAAACAAACAAAAAAAACAACAGAGUUCACCUGAAGGAGCAAACAAUGAAACAGACCUGUGCAGUCUGAUAGACACUGAGUUCAAAAGGGAUAUACUGAAAAUAAUGAAGGAACUAAGGGUGCAUAUGAAGGAAUUAGAGCAGAUAUGAACAGUAAUGCAGAUUCAUUUAGAAAGGAACUAGAAAAUAUAAGGAGGAACCAAGAAAUAUUAGAAAAUUCAUUUGCAGAAAUGCAAACGGAGUUAAAGGCAUUAAAGAACAGAAUGAAUAAUGCAGAGGAACGAAUUAGUGACUUGGAAGAUAGAAUAAUGGAAAUCACCCAAUUAGAACACCGCAAAGAAAACCAAAUGAAAAAAUAUGAAAGCAAUAUAGGAGAUUCAUGGAAUAAUAUAAACCAGGCCAAUAUACACAUAAUAGGGAUUCCAGAAGGAGAAGAAAUAGAAAAAGGGAUCAAAAAUAUAUUUGAAGAAAUUAUGGCUGAAAACUUUCCAAAUUUAAAGAAAACAGAUAUCAAGAUACAUGAAGUGGAGUUCCUGUCAUGGCUCAGUGGUUAAUGAAUCCGCCUAGGAACCAUGAGGUUGCGGGUUCGAUCCCUGGCCUUGCUCAGUGGGUUAAGGAUCCAGCGUUGCCAUGAGCUGUAGUGUAGGUCGCAGAUGCAGCUCGGAUCCUGCAUUGCUGUGGCUCAGGCGUAGGCUGGUGGCUACAGCUCCAAUCCAACCCCCAGCCUGGGAACCACCACAUGCCA